CUGCCCGCGGCGCCCGGCCGCG
RNAcentral lists this microRNA (22 nucleotides) under Gallus gallus (chicken). RNAcentral's name for it is "gga-miR-12273-5p". The record is from miRBase by way of RNAcentral. Lineage: Eukaryota; Metazoa; Chordata; Aves; Galliformes; Phasianidae.